Long non-coding RNA from Chroicocephalus ridibundus (black-headed gull), 2384 nucleotides. RefSeq lists it as uncharacterized. NCBI's taxonomy places the organism in Eukaryota, Metazoa, Chordata, Aves, Charadriiformes, Laridae. The transcript is spliced from 3 exons. The record is from RefSeq and is a predicted model, not a curated record.
CCCAGAAGCAGCUACACACUAUCUUCAUCUCCCAAGCAUUGUCAGUUUGGACACCUUCGCACAUGCGCACAGAGCAUUCAAUCUGACACCCUCACCAGGGCCAAAAAAACUUUCCAAUGUAUUCAUCAUCAUCAGGCCUUCCCCUGAUCUGCCCCUUUAAGAAAAAUCAGCCCUCUCCGCUCCUAACCCUCCGCACACUGACCUUACACACUGGACAAUAUUUAAGGAUCAAGGUGCCAUCCUAUAAAGAGGUGGAAGGCAGCGCGCUGGGAAGCGCUUCCCGAGGGACGGGGGAAGCCGGGAGAGGCGCGGAGACCCGGGAAAAGUGGGGAGAGGAAGGAAAAGCCACCCCGGAGCCAUCCCGCAGGACCUGCCCGCCGGCCCCGGCAGCGAAGGUAGAGAGAGCCCCGGCUUUGAAGAAAGGAGCGAAGUGUAAAUAGCCCGAUGAUUGAUGUGCUGUCUUUGACUGCGGAGAAAGCACUAUUUUAAUUCAAGUGGCCAGGUCAGAUGGUCACGGAAGAAGGUUGAAAGGUAGGAUUUAAUGAGAUUAAUAUGGAGAGAGAGAGAGAGAAAGCGCGCGCCUUCAUAAACAUUCAAUAAAAUAAUCGGGCGAGGGGAGAGCGCUCUGAUUUGCGCUCGAGGUGCUAACCCGGACCGGGGCUCAGCCAGCAGAAAAACCGGGAGCCCUCUCCCUGAAGGGCAUUGCAAAAACAAAGCAAAACUUCUGUGGGUGCGUCAGGUCUCUGCUGGAAGCCAUUCUGCCAGCUGCACUUUUGCCCUGCAGGUGGAACUGGGGAGGGGAGGGGGGAAUAUUCUUGCUAAUUACCGGUUUUCCCCUCCUCAAUAAACUCUUUAAUUGCAAAUGGGAGCAGGGCCCUUUCAGAUGCUACCUGGGAGCCAGCGCUAAAGGGAAGGGUGGCGGAGCAGGAGCCCAAAUAAAAUAAAUACGUUUGAAGGGAACUUGCAGCCACGUGUCGCCUAAAAUGUUGAAAUGGUGCCCGUGAAUUCCUUCCCCGAGGACGCGCGGGGCACAGGUAGCCGUUUCACCGCACGGCCGGCACCCCGAGCUCGGAAAAACAAGCUCUUGCGGUCUCCGCCGGUGAAACAGGAGCUCGAAUGUUUCCCAAUCCAUUGAAAUAUUUCUCCCAACGACCUCGGGCGCUAGAGCUGCUUCCCGCACCCACCCCGCCGAGCCCCUCGCGGGACGGACAGAUUUCAGCUCGAAAAUAUCGUCCCGGGUUAUUUAUUCCGGUGGUUUUCUGGCAGAAGACCCCGGACCUGCUCAGCCCCGACCCGAAGCCAAGCCCCGAAGCCCGCGGCUAGCCAGCACAGGUUGCCCCGCUGGCCGCGUCCCCCUCCCCGAGCCGGGAAAACAAAGGGCACGGAGGGCCCGAGCCACUCGCCGCCGGGCCGGGACCCGCGGCCGGUGCUCGCCCGCCGCCCUCCGCCACUAGCCCGGCUUUUGUUUUCGUGCCAAAACCUCCCGCAUCCCCAGCGUUCAGAUUCCCCCUGGGAAACAGCUCCCGCGGGAGAUAAGCGCGCACCGGCGGACCCGCUCGCAGAUAUUUUGGGGGACGCAAAAGGCUUUCGGGGGUGUCCGGAGGGGGCGGGGGGGUUCCACAACCCUUUAGCUGAUGCUUCUACAAACGAAGCCACAGAGAAGCGAUCGAAAAGUCACCGUGCGACCUGGCGCCAGCCCUGCCGAGCCGAGGGUCGGGGUUGCCCUCAGCUCGCCUCGGAAAUCAGGAUUAGGGUUUUUUUCCCCUUGCCUUUCCCCUCGCUCUGGCCGCGCUGCUCCCGGGUCGAGGAGAACGGCUCGCCGGGCCGGAGCGGGGCUCCCCCCGCCUCGGCCCGCUUUUAUCGAGGCAGCAGGAAAAAAAGAAAUUAAAAAAAAAAGGAACGAAUUUUUAGCGGGAGGUGUCGGGGAGCGCUGGCUGCGGGGCGUGCGGGAGGCGACGGGCCGCCAGCGGGGUCCCCCGCCGGCACCGGCCGCCCGCCCCCGGCAACGGGCCCCGCUUCACAAGCUCGUUUUAGGGAAAAAACGCUCUCGAGGAGACACGGUUGGGAGCCAGGGCAGGAGCCGGAGGCGGGGGGGGUGCUCCGGGGGCAGUGUGCCCUCUCGGGACACGCUCUUCCGUCCUGCGCCUACAGAGGUUGAUCCAUGGCUGCCAAGGGUGCCUCGCUGCAUUCCAGACGGGAAUCCCCAGGGGGAAGGAGCAGGGCUGCCGAGGGUGGGCGCAGCAAAUCCCCCCAGCAAGGUGUGCAGCUGGGGGCCGGGAAAAACCCCGCAGCCCCCCCCGGCCCCGGGCUCCCCCCGGCGUUCCUGCCUGGCCGGCCGAGCAUCCUGCGGCUGCCACCGGCUUUUACAGCCUGCACCUGUCUGA